This 289-nucleotide ribosomal RNA is filed under the name Ligilactobacillus salivarius. Its description in RNAcentral is "partial 23S ribosomal RNA". It matches the Rfam family "Bacterial large subunit ribosomal RNA", at positions 1370 to 1656 of the family's 2925-position model. The record is from RNAcentral. Lineage: Bacteria; Bacillati; Bacillota; Bacilli; Lactobacillales; Lactobacillaceae.
CCUCCCAGGGUUAGUCGGGACCUAAGCCGAGGCCGAGAGGCGUAGGCGAUGGAUAACAGGUUGAGAUUCCUGUACUGGUUAAACUUGUUUGAACAAUGAAGGGACGCAGGAGGCUAUCGAUGCGUACUGUUGGAUAUGUACGUUCAAGCAACAAGUCUGUAGAUGAGUCAAAUGCUUAUCUACUUAAGGAUAAGUUGUGAUGAGGAGCGAAAUUUAGUAGCGAAGUGAGAGACGUCACACUGCCAAGAAAAGCUUCUAGUUAGAGUUUAAUCACCCGUACCGCAAACCG